ACCUCAUCCAGAGGGGCUGAGGGAAACGGCCCGAAGACGCCCCGGCAACCACCGCGAUGGACUCGAUGUCGAGGCCGCGCGCGGCAGGUGCCAAUUCCGUCCAGACCGGACACCCGGCUGGGAAGAUGAGAG
Molecule: non-coding RNA, 132 nt
Filed under: Actinomycetota bacterium
Lineage: Bacteria; Bacillati; Actinomycetota
Description: Actinobacteria bacterium SAM-I sequence
Rfam family: SAM riboswitch aptamer (S box leader)
About the family: The SAM riboswitch is found upstream of a number of genes which code for proteins involved in methionine or cysteine biosynthesis in Gram-positive bacteria. The SAM riboswitch acts at the level of transcription termination control.
Source: RNAcentral